CCCGAACCUACUCCCAGAUUUCCCCGGAUAUUCCCGAUUUUCCAGCCUCCAACCCCUCAUUCCCAAAUUCCGGAUGAAUCCCCAGCUUCCCGGGAUGGAGGAAGAAUUCCAGGAAAAUUCCACGGAGCUGCUCCGGGUGCGGCGGGAAAACCAAAAACUCCGGCUCCAGCUGGAAGCGUCGCGGGAAGCCGGGAUGGGAGCGCUCCGGGAAGUUUCCGGAAACUGGCCGGGAUUUUCGGGAUGGAGGCGGAAAAGCGGGAAAAGGAGACGGAGGAGC
This is a long non-coding RNA of Pseudopipra pipra, 277 nucleotides long. RefSeq lists it as uncharacterized. The transcript has 3 exons. NCBI's taxonomy places the organism in Eukaryota, Metazoa, Chordata, Aves, Passeriformes, Pipridae. The record is from RefSeq and is a predicted model, not a curated record.